UACGAAGGGGGCUAGCGUUGCUCGGAAUCACUGGGCGUAAAGGGCGCGUAGGCGGCCAUUCAAGUCAGAGGUGAAAGCCCAAGGCUCAACCUUGGAAUUGCCUUUGAUACUGUUUGGCUUGAGACCGGAAGAGGUAAGUGGAACUGCGGGUGUAGAGGUGAAAUUCGUAGAUAUUCGCAAGAACACCAGUGGCGAAGGCGGCUUACUGGUCCGGUUCUGACGCUGAGGCGCGAAAGCGUGGGGAGCAAACAGG
RNAcentral lists this ribosomal RNA (253 nucleotides) under uncultured bacterium. RNAcentral describes it as "partial 16S ribosomal RNA". It matches the Rfam family "Bacterial small subunit ribosomal RNA", at positions 524 to 776 of the family's 1533-position model. The record is from RNAcentral.